UAGUUGGUGGAGUGAUUUGUCUGGUUAAUUCCGUUAACGAACGAGACCUCAGCCUGCUAACUAGUCGCGUUUAUUCUUUGUUCACUGUUGGCGCGUGGCGUCUGCGCCAGGCUUAGCUCGCGUGGGUACUUCUGUAUUCGCGCGGCUUCGCCGGGUGUGUUCGUGUUCGUGUCAGCGGAACAGUUCGGAAUAGGAGAAAGCGUCGAUUGCCUCUGGUAGUCGCGCUUCAUGCAACUUCUUAGAGGGACUCUCCGUGUGUAGCGGAUGGAAGUUUGAGGCAAUAACAGG
Molecule: ribosomal RNA, 288 nt
Filed under: uncultured eukaryote
Lineage: Eukaryota
Description: partial small subunit ribosomal RNA
Rfam family: Eukaryotic small subunit ribosomal RNA
Source: RNAcentral